CAAUAAGCGGAGGAAAAGAAACUAACAAGGAUUCCCCUAGUAACUGCGAGUGAAGCGGGAAAAGCUCAAAUUUAAAAUCUGGUGGUCUUUGGCCAUCCGAGUUGUAAUCUAGAGAAGUGUUACCCGUGUCGGACCGUGUACAAGUCUCCUGGAAUGGAGCGUCAUAGAGGGUGAGAAUCCCGUCUUUGACACGGACCCCCGAUGCUUUGUGGUGCGCUCUCAACGAGUCGAGUUGUUUGGGAAUGCAGCUCAAAAUGGGUGGUAAAUUCCAUCUAAAGCUAAAUAUUGGCGAGAGACCGAUAGCGAACAAGUACCGUGAGGGAAAGAUGAAAAGAACUUUGGAAAGAGAGUUAAACAGUACGUGAAAUUGCUGAAAGGGAAACGCUUGAAGUCAGUCGCGUUGGCCGGAAAUCAGCCUUCCUUUUGGUUGGUGUACUUUCUGGUUGACGGGCCAGCAUCAGUUUUGAUCGGUGGAAAAAGUUGUAGGGAAUGUGGCAUCUUCGGGUGUGUUAUAGCCUUGCUUCGUAUACAUCGGUUGGGACUGAGGAACUCAGCACGCCGCAAGGCCGGGGUUCGCCCACGUUCGUGCUUAGGAUGCUGGCAUAAUGGCUUUAAUCGACCCGUCUUGAAACACGGACCAAGGAGUCUAACAUGCCUGCGAGUGUUUGGGUGGAAAACCCGAGCGCGUAAUGAAAGUGAAAGUCGAGAUCCUUGUCAUGGGGAGCAUCGACGCCCGGACCAGAUGUUUUCUGACGGUUCUGCGGUAGAGCAUGUAUGUUGGGACCCGAAAGAUGGUGAACUAUGCCUGAAUAGGGUGAAGCCAGAGGAAACUCUGGUGGAGGCUCGUAGCGAUUUCUGACGUGCAAAUCGAUCGUCAAAUUUGGGUAUAGGGGCGAAAGACUAAUCGAACCAUCU
RNAcentral lists this ribosomal RNA (915 nucleotides) under Ephemerocybe subdisseminata. Its description in RNAcentral is "LSU rRNA". It matches the Rfam family "Eukaryotic large subunit ribosomal RNA", at positions 44 to 945 of the family's 3401-position model. Lineage: Eukaryota; Fungi; Basidiomycota; Agaricomycetes; Agaricales; Psathyrellaceae. The record is from RNAcentral.